Chelonia mydas (Green sea turtle) is the source of this 560-nucleotide long non-coding RNA. RefSeq lists it as uncharacterized. The record is from RefSeq and is a predicted model, not a curated record. The transcript is spliced from 3 exons. NCBI's taxonomy places the organism in Eukaryota, Metazoa, Chordata, Testudines, Cheloniidae.
UGAGGUUUCACCCUAUUACAAUCCCUCUUCCCAGCAAUCAAAGCUGAAAUCGAUUCUGCUGGCUCAGGUGGUAUUGCUCCCUGACUUGCCCAGACAACACACUUCCCUUCGGUGCUGGAGACGGGCCUGCCUGAGUUCUUGGAUUCUCUCAAUUCUGGACAAGGAAACUGUGCUGUAUGCACAAUGAGCGACAUUCCCUUCCCUGAAAAGCUUCUAGUCUAAACAGACGAGAGACAAAGGAUUGCAGAAAAAAAAGUGGUAUUAUCCCCAUUUUACAGACCAGUCGAGCGCUGAAUCUGACCGAGUCACUUUGGAAGUUUCUGGCCCCCUGCUAUAUUCCAUGAACCACAUUCCCUGAAAUGUGGCAUUGCUUUAUAUUUCACAGCACCCAUAAUGUGGAUUUAUCAAAGUUCACCAUGGCAACACCCAGGCAGUCUGAGACAAGUAUGCAUAUGAGCCUAGAAACAGGACAAAACAAACUGAAAUCGCCCUCUUCCCCUCCUGCCCCCUUCCUUCAACCCCUAACUCUGACAAAUUCUGUAUUACCUCAGAAGUGAUUA